CGUAAUAGCUCACUGGUCGAGUCGGCCUGCGCGGAAGAUGUAACGGGGCUAAACCAUGCACCGAAGCUGCGGCAGCGACGCUUAUGCGUUGUUGGGUAGGGGAGCGUUCUGUAAGCCGUUGAAGGUGUCCUGUGAGGGGUGCUGGAGGUAUCAGAAGUGCGAAUGCUGACAUAAGUAACGAUAAAGCGGGUGAAAAGCCCGCUCGCCGGAAGACCAAGGGUUC
RNAcentral lists this ribosomal RNA (223 nucleotides) under Enterobacter hormaechei subsp. hoffmannii. RNAcentral's name for it is "partial 23S ribosomal RNA". It matches the Rfam family "Bacterial large subunit ribosomal RNA", at positions 1133 to 1354 of the family's 2925-position model. The record is from RNAcentral. Lineage: Bacteria; Pseudomonadati; Pseudomonadota; Gammaproteobacteria; Enterobacterales; Enterobacteriaceae.